AUGAGAAGGAGACAACAGAAACCUGGCUUCACAGAGUACAAUGACUUCUCUAUUUGCCUGUGGUUUGAUUUUCCUGAAAGCUCCGUCAGCUGUGCAGGUUCCACCCCCUGGCUCCAAACCCAGCAUGUACAGGUCCAGAACAGCAUGUUCACCUACAGAACAACCCUGCACAGGAGCUCAGCCUCAGUGUCCUGCACAGUCCUCACCGUCCACCAUAGCACAGCUCACCGAACAGCAACCAGGCCACAACGCAAGGAAUGUAAGCAUACGUUUAGGCUGGUGUCAGUGCGACGCAGUCUCAUCCUCUGUCUCAUCCUGCGUCUCAUCCUGCGUCUCAUCCUCCGUCUCAUCCUGCGUCUCAUCCUCCCUGUGAUCCUGCGUCUCAUCCUGCGUCUCAUCCUGCGUCUCAUCCUCCGUCUCAUCCUCCCUGUGAUCCUGCGUUUCAUCCUCCGUCUCAUCCUUCGUCUCAUCCUCCGUCUCAUCCUGCGUCUCAUCCUCCGUCUCAUUCUCCGUCUCAUCCUUCGUCUCAUCCUCCGUCUCAUCCUGCGUCUCAUCCUCCGUCUCAUCCUCCGUCUCAUCCUGCGUCUCAUCCUCCGUCUCAUCCUCCGUGUGAUCCUGCGUCUCAUCCUCCGUCUCAUCCUCCGUCUGAUCCUUCGUGUGAUCCUCCAACUCAUCCUCCGUCUCAUCCUCCAUCUCAUCCUCCGUCUCAUCCUCCGUCUCAUCCUGCGUCUCAUCCUCCGUCUUAUCCUUCGUCUCAUCCUUCGUGUGAUCCUUCAUCUCAUCCUGCAUCUCAUCCUCCGUCUCAUCCUCUAUCUCAUCCUCCGUCUCAUCCUGCGUCUCAUCCUCCAUCUCAUCCUCCGUCUCAUCCUGCGUCUCAUCCUCCGUCUCAUCCUCCGUCUCAUCCUGCGUCUCAUCCUCCGUCUUAUCCUUCGUCUCAUCCUUCGUGUGAUCCUUCAUCUCAUCCUGCGUCUCAUCCUCCGUCUCAUCCUCUAUCUCAUCCUCCGUCUCAUCCUGCGUCUCAUCCUGCGUCUCAUCCUCCGUCUCAUCCUCCGUGUGAUCCUGCGUCUCAUCCUCCAUCUCAUCCUCCGUCUCAUCCUUCGUGUGAUCCUCCAUCUCAUCCUCCGUCUCAUCCUCCGUCUCAUCCUGCGUCUCAUCCUCCGUCUCAUCCUCCGUCUCAUUUUCCGUGUGAUCCUGCGUCUCAUCCUCCGUCUCAUCCUGCGUCUCAUCCUACGUCUCAUCCUUCGUGUGAUCCACCAUCUCAUCCUCCGUCUCAUCCUCCAUCUCAUCCUCCGUCUCAUCCUGCGGCUCAUCCUCCGUCUCAUCCCUCGUGUGAUCCUCCAUCUCCUCCUCCGUCUCAUCCUCCGUCUCAUCCUUCGUGUGAUCCUCCAUCUCAUCCUCCGUCUCAUCCUCCAUCUCAUCCUCCGUCUCAUCCUGCGUCUCAUCCUGCGUCUCAUCCUGCAUCUCAUCCUCCGUCUCAUCCUUCGUCUCAUCCUCCAUCUCAUCCUCCGUCUCAUCCUCCGUCUCAUCCUGUGUCUCAUCCUCCGUCUCAUCCUGCGUCUCAUCCUCCGUGUGAUCCUGCGUCUCAUCCUCCGUCUCAUCCUGCGUCUCAUCCUCCGUCUCAUCCUGCGUCUCAUCCUUCGUGUGAUCCUCCAUCUCAUCCUCCUUUUCAUCCUCCAUCUCAUCCUCCGUCUCAUCCUUCGUCUCAUCCUGCGUCUCAUCCUCCGUCUCAUCCUCCAUCUCAUCCUCCGUCUCAUCCUCCGUCUCAUCCUGCGUCUCAUCCUCCGUCUCAUCCUCCGUCUCAUCCUUCGUGUGAUCCUCCAUCUCACCCUUCUUUUUCAUCCUCCAUCUCAUCCUCCGUCUCAUCCUUCGUCUCAUCCUGCGUCUCAUCCUCCUUUUCAUCCUCCAUCUCAUCCUCCGUCUCAUCCUCCGUCUCAUCCUGCGUCUCAUCCUCCGUCUCAUCCUCCGUCUCAUCCUCCGUCUCAUCCUCCGUCUCAUCCUCUGUCUCAUCCUCUGUCUCAUCCCACCCCCUGGUAG
RNAcentral lists this long non-coding RNA (2034 nucleotides) under Betta splendens (Siamese fighting fish). Its description in RNAcentral is "lncRNA (ENSBSLG00000003272.1)". The record is from RNAcentral. Lineage: Eukaryota; Metazoa; Chordata; Actinopteri; Anabantiformes; Osphronemidae.